Molecule: long non-coding RNA, 1328 nt
Filed under: Medicago truncatula (barrel medic)
Lineage: Eukaryota; Viridiplantae; Streptophyta; Magnoliopsida; Fabales; Fabaceae
Description: lncRNA gene38195
Source: RNAcentral
UAACUUGAUUAUGAUGAUGAUGAUGAAUAUGAUGAAACGUGUACAUAAAUUUUAAAUCGUGUGUGGAACACACUAACUUUUACGUUUGAUUCGUCUCAAUAAGUCAUGCCAAUCGAAUGCAAAAAGGUAUACCGCCAAAUCUCCUUCAAAAUACUUUGGAAUAUUCCUUGACAUUUUGCACGUUCACACCUAAUAUAUCGAUCAAUGAUAGUUUAUUUACAGAAUAGAGAUAUGUUAAUUUCUCUCAUGCACUUGAUAAAAGAAAGAUUUAUUUAGUAUUACUUUUGGCAAAUCUUUGAUUCACAAGAAUGUGAUGUUCUGUAUAUUUUUUGAAUGAAUUUCUGCCUCCAAAGUGUCUCUAGUUUAUCAUGCUUUUCUCUGUCAAUUUUUUCCUGGCGUUUCCUUGGUCUAUAGUUGUAUUUGUGAUUUGGUGGUGGUGAUGUGUGGGUACGUUGUGGUGACUCACAGGUUGGUCAGAGAUGACGUUUGUUUGUGAUGGUGGUGAUAGUUGUGUUGCGAGAUGGUUGGGGGAGGAAGUGUAGGUGUUGGUUUGAGUGGUCAUUUAUGGUAGCAGUAGUGGUGUGGUUUGAAUGGGGUGGUCGUGGAUAAUCCGGACUCGGAUCUAUCGAAACUCACGGUGGACAUAAGGUGAUUUAGAGCAGGUGUGGACGUUGUUUAGGUAUGUAGGUGAUGGGAAGGUGGUUAGUGGUUAGCUCUUUGGUAUUUCUGUUAUAGGACGCCUCUAUGUUGGGUCCUAUUCGUCGACGCUAGCUCUUGUUUCAAUUUGGUUGCUUUGUUUUUGGGGGUUUUUGAGCUGAUCUUGUUUCCUUUUUUGACAUGAUUUUGGUUUACUCACUGCCCAUCCUAUCGAAUGCCAUACUGAUUUGUGCUCUGGAUUCUGGUGGGGCGAUUAUUUUUGCUUCGAGAUCAGGAGCUAGUGUCUAACUACAUAUGGUUUGGCUGGUUAUGGUGUCCUCUUCGAUGGAUCGGGGAUAUGAGGGUUACCUUACUAAUUUUUCACUAGAGUCUGGUGGACCGAUCGAUUUUGAUUCGAGAUAGGGAGUCAAAUCUUUGAUUCAAGUUUUCUUUGGUCUAUUAUGGUGUUUCUUCUUCGGCGAAUCGGGGGUAUAAAGGUAGUGAAAGUCGAAGGAGUGAUUGAAUUGAACAUUUUAGGUGUGGCUUAACCAUGGGGAGGUGAAGAGGAUGUUUGAUUGCGAGGACUUUUUUUUGGAGUGAGUAGCGGCGAUGGGUAUUUAUGGAUUUCGUUUCCAAUGGUUGUUUGCGUUGGAGUUUGUUUUAGGUAGUGAAAUUGGUUUUUGUGGUUAUGG